Molecule: long non-coding RNA, 235 nt
Filed under: Carica papaya (papaya)
Lineage: Eukaryota; Viridiplantae; Streptophyta; Magnoliopsida; Brassicales; Caricaceae
Description: long non-coding RNA (CPAP_LNC005909)
Source: RNAcentral
UUGUGAAUCACUCUGUUCAGGACCUAGAUGGCAAAUAAGCUAUCCAUUUCUAAGAUGACCUCGUGUGAACCAAAGUUCCGUGCCAUUUCUAGGCCAUCUAUAAUGUCCAAAGCUCGACAUGCAAAAUGGAUCAUGUACUAAUUUUCCUGCUAAAGCCCCUAACCAAGUUAUAUUUGCGUCUCUAUCAAGGCCACCAGCGCAUGUCAGGUUAUUGCUAGCACGAACUGCCCCAUAA